RNAcentral lists this ribosomal RNA (490 nucleotides) under uncultured bacterium. Its description in RNAcentral is "partial 16S ribosomal RNA". It matches the Rfam family "Bacterial small subunit ribosomal RNA", at positions 28 to 507 of the family's 1533-position model. The record is from RNAcentral.
GAUGAACGCUAGCUACAGGCUUAACACAUGCAAGUCGCGGGGCAGCAUGGGGGUUGCUUGCACUCCCCGAUGGCGACCGGCGCACGGGUGAGUAACGCGUAUCCAACCUGCCCUUCACCACGGGAUAACCCGGCGAAAGUCGGACUAAUACCGUAUGUUGUCCAUUGACGGCAUCCGAUUUGGACGAAAGGUUUGGCGGUGAAGGAUGGGGAUGCGUCCGAUUAGCUGGACGGCGGGGUGACGGACCACCGUGGCGACGAUCGGUAGGGGCUCUGAGAGGAAGGUCCCCCACACUGGAACUGAGACACGGUCCAGACUCCUACGGGAGGCAGCAGUGAGGAAUAUUGGUCAAUGGGCGUAAGCCUGAACCAGCCAAGUAGCGUGCAGGAUGACGGCCCUAUGGGUUGUAAACUGCUUUUAUGCGGGGAUAAAGUGGCCCACGUGUGGGUUUUUGCAGGUACCGCAUGAAUAAGGACCGGCUAAUUCCGUG